RNAcentral lists this long non-coding RNA (305 nucleotides) under Mytilus galloprovincialis (Mediterranean mussel). The record is from RNAcentral. Lineage: Eukaryota; Metazoa; Mollusca; Bivalvia; Mytilida; Mytilidae.
CCCAGAUUUUUUCUAUGUCGAGCAAAAAAAAAGUAGCAGUUUAUAAGGAGACCCCCUAAAUGACGUAACAGCUUGACUUAUGGUCGUUUUAAAAACGAUUGCUUGCAAGUUGCAUUGUGAACAAUUGUACAAUAUGAAAAUUAAACAACGUGAAUGCAAAUAUUUAUAAUGACUUUACGGAAAGUAACUUUUGUGACAUCUUGACAACCGUAUACAAAGUUCGUUACACUUUUCUACCUUCUAAACACAAGAGGUCGAAUUCUUUUGUUCUAUUUAAACCGCAUAUCGGACUGUAUAUAUAAUUU